CCCAGAUCCUUAAGAAUGAGGGUGCCAAAUCUCUGUUCAAGGGUGCUGGUGCUAACAUCCUCCGUGCCGUUGCUGGUGCUGGUGUGUUGGCAGGUUAUGACAAGCUUCAGGUCAUCGUUUUUGGAAAGAAAUAUGGUUCUGGUGGUGCCUAAGCCCGACUUAACUACUUGUUUUUCUAGAAUUAGAAUAUGGUGAUGAAAAUCCUUCAAAUUCGAAGAACCGUUUUGGGGCAGAUAUUUUACGUUUUUCCCUGUCCCUUUUGAAUAAUUCAAAGUUUAGAGCGGGUUAGAACUUUAAACCCUCAAUUAAUUAUUCCCUUGUUGAAGGGGUGGUUUUGUUAUGCAGGCCUUUAUCACAGCAGAGUUCACA
RNAcentral lists this long non-coding RNA (369 nucleotides) under Nicotiana tabacum (common tobacco). RNAcentral's name for it is "long non-coding RNA (NTAB_LNC019217)". Lineage: Eukaryota; Viridiplantae; Streptophyta; Magnoliopsida; Solanales; Solanaceae. The record is from RNAcentral.